GGCCCAGGUGUGGCGUGCUGCUCAGAGGGCGGAUACAGAAACCGAGAACCGCCAAGGCCACAGAGCUAGAGAUUGUGAGGUGAACAAUCAGAGCCACUGGCCCAUGCUGUGGGCACAGCCAGCGAUGGCCCAGGGACCGCACCCAUGGGAUACGGAGGUUCCCAGGCUAGGGGGUCUAAUAGGAGCUGUAGCCACCAGCCUACACCACGGCCACAGCCACGCCAGAUCCGAACUGUGUCUGCCACCUACACCACAGCUCACCGCAACACCGGAUCCUUAACCCGCUGAGCGAGGCCUGGGAUCAAACCCGCAACCUCAUGAUUCCUAGUCGGAUUCGUUUCUGCUGUGCCAUGACGGGAAUGCCUAUAACGUUUGUCUUAUUUAAGCAUCUGUUAUUGUCAGUCUCUGUUAAAACAACUGAACUGUAUCCUAACGCAAACAUUCAACAUUGUUUAUAAAUUUGUUUUUGUUUUUGCUUUUGUUUUUGGCUGCACCCACAGCCUGUGAAAGUUCCUGUGUCAGGGAUUGAACCCACGCCACAGAUGCAGCCUGCACUGCAGCUAUGUCAAUGCCGGAUCCUUAACCCACUGAGCCACACGUGGAGUUCCGGUUUGUUUGUUUGCUUUUAAUGGAAAUGCCUAAAUGUCCCUCAAAGAGAGGAUGCGUAUAGGAGCCAGGGUAACUCCAUACAAUUAAGUACAUGAAGUCAUUGGAGAAAAGAAUGAAAUAGGAGCUCCUGCUGUGGCACCGUGGGUCAAGGAUCUGGUGUUGCUGCAGCUCUGGCAUAGGUUGCAGCUGUGGCUCAGAUUCGAUCCCUGGUCCAGAAACUUUCAUAUGCCAAAAAAAAAAAAAAAAAAAAAAAAAAAGAGAGAAUGAAAUAGACAUAUGUUCUUGAUAGACUAUUAAAAUGAAAAACGAAAGUGAUAAAACAAUGUAGAAGAUGCUGUAGUUUCUAGGUUUCCGGGGACAAGUACCUUCUUCCCUCUCCUGUAGAAACUACAGAAAUCACAUUCUGCCUUGGAUGGUGGGGUUUGAGGCUGGGGGUCUACAACAGCAGCAGCCUCUUUGUUCCAAAAGGAAAGACCCUAGAUUUGGUGAAGGCAGAGGGGAGCAAAUGCUGCAUAGAACCUAUAGAGAGACCAAAAAGAGAGGGAGAACCGGCCUGCGGGGACGCUGAGGGGCUGGGUCAAGCCUGAAUCAAAGUCAGCCUUGGAUCUGACUGUGUGCACAUACGGAGCCUUCAAACUCCAUUCGUUCAUUGGUUUAAGCGCAUUUUAGCUAGGUUUUCCUUUGCUUUAAAAAGAAGACUGAGUGAGGCCAGUGGGUUAAGUGUCCAGGAUUGCUGCAAACUGCUGCAUAGCUCACAGAAGCAGCUGGGAUCUGGUGUCGCUGUGGCUGUGGUGUAAGCCGGCAGCUGAAGCUCCGAUUUGACCCCUAGCUCGGGAACUUUCAUAUGCUGCAGGUAUGGCUCUAAAAAGAAAAAAAAAA
RNAcentral lists this long non-coding RNA (1488 nucleotides) under Sus scrofa (pig). RNAcentral describes it as "lncRNA (ENSSSCG00050053865.1)". Lineage: Eukaryota; Metazoa; Chordata; Mammalia; Artiodactyla; Suidae. The record is from RNAcentral.